CAUCGGGUCCCGCGCGACGCAAUCCCGCAAAUCCCGCCAGGUCCGGAAGGAAGCAACGGUAGCGGGCACUCGCGUGCGCAGCGGGUUCCCCGGUGCUU
RNAcentral lists this signal recognition particle RNA (98 nucleotides) under Acidobacteriota bacterium. Its description in RNAcentral is "Acidobacteria bacterium signal recognition particle sRNA small type". It matches the Rfam family "Bacterial small signal recognition particle RNA". Rfam says of the family: The signal recognition particle (SRP) is a universally conserved ribonucleoprotein involved in the co-translational targeting of proteins to membranes. Archaeal SRP consists of a 7S RNA and homologues of the eukaryotic SRP19 and SRP54 proteins. The record is from RNAcentral. RNAcentral also lists the same sequence under 1 other name. Lineage: Bacteria; Pseudomonadati; Acidobacteriota.